CCUACGGGCGACUGCAGUGGGGAAUAUUGCACAAUGGGCGAAAGCCUGAUGCAGCAACGCCGCGUGAAGGAAGACGGUUUUCGGAUUGUAAAGUUCUGUGAUGGGGGAUGAACACAAUGACGGUACCCCAAUAGCAAGCCACGGCUAACUACGUGCCAGCAGCCGCGGUAAUACGUAGGUGGCAAGCGUUAUCCGGAAUGACUGGGCGUAAAGGGUGCGUAGGUGGUUUAGUAAGGUGGCGGUGUAAUUCCGGGGCUCAACCUCGGCGCUACCGCCAAAACUAUUAGACUAGAGUGCAGGAGGGGUAAGUGGAAUUCCUAGUGUAGCGGUGGAAUGCGUAGAUAUUAGGAGGAACAUCAGGGGCGAAGGCGACUUACUGGACUGUAACUGACACUGAGGCACGAAAGCGUGGGGAGCAAACAGGAUUAGAUACCCCAGUAGUC
This 443-nucleotide ribosomal RNA is filed under the name uncultured bacterium. RNAcentral describes it as "partial 16S ribosomal RNA". It matches the Rfam family "Bacterial small subunit ribosomal RNA", at positions 338 to 795 of the family's 1533-position model. The record is from RNAcentral.